UGGGGAAUAUUGCACAAUGGGGGAAACCCUGAUGCAGCGACGCCGCGUGAACGAAGAAGGUAUUCGUAUCGUAAAGUUCUGUCCUAUGGGAAGAUAAUGACAGUACCAUAGAAGAAAGCUCCGGCUGAAUACGUGCCAGCAGCCGCGGUAAUACGUAUGGAGCGAGCGUUGUCCGGAAUUAUUGGGCGUAAAGGGUACGCAGGCGGUUUAAUAAGUCGAAUGUUAAAGAUCGGGGCUCAACCCCGCAAAGCAUUGGAAACUGAUAAACUUGAGUAGUGGAGAGGAAAGUGGAAUUCCUAGUGUAGUGGUGAAAUACGUAGAUAUUAGGAGGAAUACCAGUAGCGAAGGCGACUUUCUGGACACAAACUGACGCUGAGGUACGAAAGCGUGGGGAGCAAACAGG
RNAcentral lists this ribosomal RNA (403 nucleotides) under bacterium. Its description in RNAcentral is "partial 16S ribosomal RNA". It matches the Rfam family "Bacterial small subunit ribosomal RNA", at positions 355 to 776 of the family's 1533-position model. The record is from RNAcentral.